CGUGCUGAUCUAGGAACGGAAUGAACAGAAAACAGAGAUUAAAGACAGGUAGCCAGUGAUGACAGACAACAAGACAGCCACCUCCUGCAGAACUUUUGCAUGGACUGUUGGAACUUUUGCCGAUUACCCCACUAUUGGACCUGACCUGGAAAGCCUGAAAAGUACAACUCUUCCUAGCUUGGAUUUCUGUGUGGCCUUCUUGGAAUGAAUUUGAGUCCUGUAAAACUUAUUUUGCAGAAAAAGCUUAGAGUAAAUCAAGGAAUGUCAGGUCUCCAAGCAAAAUGCAAACCAAAGAGAGUACUAACAUCUUCAGGUCAUCAGAGAAAGAGGUGUAACUGUUCAGCAGAAGUGGCAGAAGAGCCAUGAGUGUUGCCACACCAUGAGAUCCAGAGCUGACAGAUCACAGCUCUCUGUACCAGGAUAUCCUGGCAGCUGCCUUAGUUCUACAGCCAUCCUGCCAGAGGAAGCUUUUGCUCCCAUAGGAUCUGGCAAAGAUGGACAGCCCUUCAGCUGGCUGGGUCUCCAUCCACAUCAUCAUUUCUGCCUGUGAAACAGCUGCACAACAGCAC
This is a long non-coding RNA of Passer domesticus (house sparrow), 569 nucleotides long. RefSeq lists it as uncharacterized. The record is from RefSeq and is a predicted model, not a curated record. The transcript is spliced from 3 exons. Lineage: Eukaryota; Metazoa; Chordata; Aves; Passeriformes; Passeridae.